AGAGUUUGAUCAUGGCUCAGGACGAACGCUGGCGGCGUGCUUAACGCAUGCAAGUGGUGCGACGAACCAGGGCUUGCCCUGGGGCCAAGCCGCGAACGGGUGAGUAACACGUGAGUAACCUGCCCCGAUGACUGGGACAACCCGAGGAAACUCGGGCUAAUACCGGAUGUUGUGCACUUCCUCAAGGUUGUGCACUAAAGGAAGCUUCGGCCUCCGCAUUGGGAGGGGCUCGCGGCCCAUUAGCUUGUUGGUGGGGUAACGGCCUACCAAGGCGACGAUGGGUAGCUGGUCUGAGAGGACGAUCAGCCACACUGGGACUGAGACACGGCCCANACUCCUACGGGAGGCAGCAGUGGGGAAUCUUGCGCAAUGCGCGAAAGCGUGACGCAGCAACGCCGCGCGAGGGAAGACGGCCUUCGGGUUGUAACCUCUUUCAGGAGGGACGAANGCUCACCGGUGAAUAGCCGUGUGGGNUUGACGGUACCUCCANAANAAGCUCCGGCUAACUACGUGCUANCCGCCNCGGUANUUC
Molecule: ribosomal RNA, 532 nt
Filed under: uncultured bacterium
Lineage: Bacteria
Description: bacterial SSU rRNA
Rfam family: Bacterial small subunit ribosomal RNA
Source: RNAcentral